Molecule: long non-coding RNA, 927 nt
Organism: Topomyia yanbarensis
Lineage: Eukaryota; Metazoa; Arthropoda; Insecta; Diptera; Culicidae
Exons: 4
Source: RefSeq, a predicted model, not a curated record
GUUUGAUCGAGUCGAGUGUGGCGAAAAUUUUCAAAAACGAACGCAGUUUUGCAAGAACUCCGGAUUUUUUCUCUAGUUUGUAAGGUCGAAAUAAAUGCAAUAACCGGAAUUCGUCGACGUGGAUAUGUGUACCGAAUCUUCGGAUGAUGAAAGUACCAUCGAGAGCAUAACGGAGCCCAGUCCGACGGAGUCGUUCGUGCCGGAACCAGUCUGUAUUAGCAAAGAUCCAGCUUCUGCUUCGUACUCUCCAUUGAGGCAGAUCACAGAUUGGGAGUUGGACAACAGUAUUAAUGUGUUCUUAAAAGCACAAACUAUUAUUUGAUUAACAUUUGAAACAAGGAGAAACUCUAUUAGGCUUAUUAUAAGAAAGCCAAAGGAUAUACACAAGAGGAAUUGAUUUCAACAUAAGAGUAGAAGAGACCGUAUCAGGGAAAGUGAAGAUUGGCCGGACAUCAAUGUUAGGGAAAAGAAGAAAUUAAACUUGCAGAUUUUUGCCAUACGGAAGAAUACUACAGGACAUCAUGAACCGCAUCGCCGACUGCCCUCCUUGGAUCCGCUGGGAACUCUGUAGCAGACAGCAUAUCAAUUAAAUGAGAAGAGAUAACUGAAUUUGGAUAUCUAUCGCGUUAAAAAAUCUGUAUAUGAGAGGCGCACGACCAGACAACAUGUUUAAUGUUGCGAUAAUUGUCAUCAUAAGCGCUGAGAACGCUCUCCACGACACCACUACACCGGAGAUGCUCAUCCAACGUAUAAUGACUGGACAUGACCCGAGAUAUCAUCCAAAUGAAGUCACGAGCCUUAUCCAUCUCCUUGAACCAAGGCUUGUUUGGGAUUCCUAACCUUCCAUUGUUCCACGAAAUUUCGAGCGUCCUCUGAUAAGAAAUACUGGAAAACUCGUUGAAGCUAUGUGAUCUUUCAUGAAUAUCA